UUUAGGAUACUUAUGAUGUUGGCCUGACUAAUUAAUUUGCUACUUUGCUUUCUUAAUGAAUUCAGCCCUUUGUUAAGAGAAUUGCAAUCUCCGUUACUCGGAACAUCCAAAGAGAGAAACAAGGUCUAAUUGAAGAACAAGAAAGGUACAACUUAUUAAUAGGCCGGGCAUGAUCCAUGUUAAACCUCACAUUAUGGAGCAAUUAGGUUCAUCUGCAUAGCCCAUGCUAGCAAUAAAAACAUGUUGGCUUUGACAACAAUUCUUCGGAUCUGGCUUUGGCUUUUCAUCACCUUUGCCCUUUUCCUUUACUUCUUCCACGCUUACAAGAGUCGCAUACCCAAGCUUCUUCCUCAGACAGCAGGUCAAGCUAGCUGAAUCAACUCCGUCUCCAAUCACCACAACCCGAUCCUUUUCAGCUCCUUCUAUAGCCACUGAGAUCACACCUGUCACAUAAUCACAAAAGCCCAAAAAUGGAUCGACUGGGACUAUGAAUAAAUGAUUUGAAAUAACAAGCCUUUAUACUUUCUGUGAACUUCUUGUGGAAAGAAAAAUAGUGUUGAAAUGUGUAUCAUACCUUCUUCAACUGCAGCAAUCUUCAUGGCUUUGGUUCUGCAUUUGUCACAGUUCAUUUGCACUUUCACAACUAUCUUUUGCUACACCAUCACACAAGGAACAUAUCCAAAUCUGUUAUAGCUAUAAUUUCAUAUGCUUCUUUUUGGAUCCAGCUAGAACAGAUUAAGCUACACAAUAAACAAAAAGCAUCAAUGGAGUUCCAGAUCAAAAGGCUCACCUUCAUGUUUUGCACUAGGCGAACACAAGGCAACUUUUUUGAAUCUCUGACUGAAUCUCUGUGAACUUAAUUGGCAAUGAUGCCGAAGGGGAAGACUGACUUCCUCUUAUAUAUGAGAGUUUCAGGGCAAGCUUCUUCUGUUUAACUUCGAAUACAGCCAGAUCUAUUCAUAAUAAAUUUUGACAUUUAGACAGUGAAUCUGACCAUCUCAACACUGCAGUUCUAUAGACUAAGUCAAUAUUCAUCCAGCAUGUGCAAGUAAUUUUCAAGGCUGUUUUGUGGUAUGUUCUUACCUGAUUAAUUUAGUCCCCGCCAGCUUGCAAUUCAUGAAAAUUCAAUGCCCACCAGUGACUUUUAUCAAGAAAAUCAAACUUACAAGAAGCAAAAUUAGACUCGGUGACUUUUUUUUAAGUUUUUUAACACUUAAAAUUUUUUAUCAUUUAAAUCUUAGAAAUGUUGAAAAUAUUUUCUAAAAUCAAAAUACCAAACGUACUCUUCAUUGAAUUUCUUUAACAAUUGUAUAUUUAUGCAAAUCAUAUUGUACAUUUAUGCAGCAAAUUGUCUCGGGCUAUGUUUGAUUUAUGGAAAAUUUAAGAGAAAUAUGCAAGAGAAAGAAAAUAAAUAAAUAAAUAAAUAAAAAAGAAAAAAAUGAAAGAAAAUAAAAAAUAAAUUUAAAGUUAAUAAAUUAUUUUUAUAUGUUACUCAAAACUUAUUUAAUUUAUUUUAAUUUUUCUAUAUAAAGAAUAAAUAAUUUGAAAAUAUAUAAAUUUUUAACUAAUUUUAAUUAUAUUCGAUCUUCUUUCCUAUUUUUCAUAAUAAAACAAAAUAUGAGAAAAUCAUUUUACUUUAUUUUUUUUUUCUUAAUUUCUUUGAUACUUUCAAAACCCAAAGAUAACCAAGUUUUACAUUUUUUCUUCAGUCAAUUUUUUUUUUAAAAAAAUAAGUAAUAAGUAAAAGAAAAAUUAAAAACAAACAUUUAAAAUAUUCUAAAAGCAAAUUGUAUUCGGUAUUAAACUAAAAAAACAAGCAUCAUAUUAAUCUUCUCUUUUAUUAGUUGUAUGUUGACAAGGCUACUCUUCUUUUCAUGAUUUUAAUUAGUUUAAUAUAUGCUUUUAGAAUUACUAAUGGGUGGGUUGAUGGAGUUGUUAAAAGACACUUAAGGUGAGGUGCUUCUAGAAAAAACGGAUCCGACUUAUGUUUUUCUUUUGUUUUUAAAAACCGAUGAAAACAACUCCUACUUGUUUUCUAAAUUUUUUUCUCUAUUUCACUUUGUUUUUAAAAAUUAUUUCUAGAAAACAACAACCAAGUAGUGUUAAAAUUUUUAAAACAGUUUUUUGUUUUUAAAAAUUGAAAAUUAUUUUUAAACCACACGACCAAACAGGCUCUACAUGACGCAAAUUUACUAUUUAAUUUUAGUAGUUAAAAGAUUCUUAUUUUUGACAAAGAAAGGAAAAGUAGAGAAUAGUCUUAGAACUUUAAGAUGAUUCAGAAUUAGGGAUGAUGAAAUGGAAUCAGUCUUGAUAUGUAUCAAGAACAUCAACAUUAAAUUUGAAAAUAUUAACAAAUAAUUGCAAACAAUAAUGUAGAAAUAUGAGACAAACAAAUGGUUAUAGUUUUGUGACUUCGAUUCUUUUUCGUCUAACCUGAAAAGCUCGUGGUGCUAUAUAUAUGAUGAAACUAAAAUUAUGAGACUUUUUGGGGGGUUUGUGGUGGUAGCAAAGGGGUCGGGCCUAUGUAGGGGCUUGCCCUUGUAGUAUAUACAUGUGUAUAUGUGUGAUGAUAUAUAGUCUUAAGGUUAUGAUAAUUAUGCUUUUAUCAUAGUCGCCCUAAACUCUCCCCUCUUGUACCAAUUUUUAACAUAGUGGAUCAUCUUCUUCUCUUCCUAUAAUGUUUUUCGUCUAGGGUUUUUCACAUAAAUCUAUAUAUUCUUUUUUUUUUUUUUUAUUGCCUAUUCUCAUUUGCACUUUGACAAUUAUCCUCUGCUGCACCAUCAUGCAAGGAACAUAUCCAAAUCUGUUGUAGCUAUAAUUUCAUAUGCUUCUUUUUGGAUCCAGCUAGAACAGCUUAAGCUACACAAUAAACAAAAAGCAUCAAUGGAGUUCCAGAUCAAAAGGCUCACCUUCAUGUUUUUCACUAGGCGAACACAAGGCAGCCUUUUUGAGUCUCUGACUGAAUCUCUAUCAACUCAAUUGGCAAUGAUGAAGAAGGGAAGAGACCGACUUCCUAAAUAUGAGAGGUUCAGGGCAAAAUUCUUCUGUUUGACUUCGAAUACAACCAGAUCUAUACAAUAACAACAACUGAGAUUAGAUGAAUUGUAUUUAACCAUCUCAACGCUGCGGUCUAUAGACCAAGUCAAAUAUUAAUCCAGCAUGCAGCAUGUGCAAGGAAUUUUUAAGCCUAUUAUUGGUAUGUUCUUGAUUUAUUCGGCGCCAGCUUGCAAUUCAUGAAAACUCAAUGGCCAAUGACUUUUAUCAAGAAAAUCAAACUUACCAGAACCUAAAUUAAUUGAACUUCUUUAACUACCAAAAUCUUUUGCAUAUUUCUGCAAUCCAUCUUCUACAUUUGUAGAGCGGAUUCUUUUUUUAUUUUCAGAAAAUUUAAGGAAAAGAAAAUAAAAAAGAAAAGAAUAAGUAAAAUAAAAAAUAGAUUUAAAGUUGAUAAAUUAUUUUUAUAUAUUAUUUUAAAUUCAUUUCAUUUAUUUUAAUUUUCCCACAUAAAAAAAUAUUUUGAAAAUAUAUAAAUUUAACUAAUUUUAGUUUUAUUUAAUCUUUUUUUCUAUUUUUAAUUUGAUAAUAAAAGAUGAAAAAAUCAUUUCCUUUAAUAUUUUUUUCUUAAUUCCUUUAGGCUAUGUUUGGUUCCCGGAAAGUACAAAGGAAAGAAAAAAAAUGCUAAGGAAAAUGAUUUUCUCAUGUUUGGUUGUCCUAUGAAAAAUAUCAAAGAAAAUCAAAUAUAAUUAAAACUAAUUAAAAACUUAUGUAUUUUUAAAUUAUUUAAUCUUUAUAUUGAUGAGUUAAAAUAAAUAAAAUGGGUUUGAAGUAACAAAAAAAAUAAUUUAUCAACUUUUAAUCUAUUUUUUUAUUUUCCUUCACUUUUUCUUUCUUUCUACUUUUCCUUUGUAUUUUCUUUCUCUCGCAUUUUUCCUCAAAUUUUUCGGGAACCAAACAUAGUCUUAAUACUUUCAAGAACCAACAAAAACCUUAGCAAACCUUUUGAUGUCUCCAAAAGAGUUUCACAUCUUACUAGUAAUUUCUUAAAUCUCUAGAUGCGUAUUUUCAUGUAGAGCACAAAGGAGCACAGCUGCAUUUCGACUGAGGAAUGGCAACAGAGAACCAAUCAACAUAUGAACCUCCAAAUGUUGUGCUUUACUACACAGCCUACUAGAAAGCACUGUUUUUUUUUUUUUUUUAACUUAAAUCUAAAUAGAAAUUAAUUUAACUUAAUGUUAUAUACAUAUAUAAAUAUUAAGUUAUUUAUUUAUUUAAUAUUUUAUUUUUAUUAAACAUUAAGCAUUAAUAAGAUGAGAGUGUAGACCCCAUGGCUCGUUUUCAUUUUAUUUUCUGCAGCCCAUUCUUUGUGGAGGGCUCUCAGCAAGCCACAUGUCGACUCCUUGGUGGCUGGUAGGGAAUCAGGUAGUGGAGUUAAGGGACCAAUCAGAAUUGGACACCUGUAAAGGACAUUCUGGAAAAACCUGUAGGCCAUUAUUUGGGAGGUGGUGUUUUCGUUGCUGCAGAGGAGGAAUGGAGGAGAGAGAGGAUAUUCUGGCAGAGAGGAGGAGGUGCAUUUGGAGACGGGUGCUGGGCAGGAGAUAUUUUCGGCAGAAGAUUCUUUCUUGAGGGGCAAGUUGAGACGAGGAGGAGAUAGGUGCGUUUUGGGACGUGUUGCUGUGGAGAUAUUUUGAGGGUGAGUUUCUUUCUUGGCCGCAAGAGAGCCAGACGGGGAGGGGAGAUUCUUUCUGGAAGGACAAGCUAGAGCUUAGAGAGGGAAGAUGCAGACUGGUUUCCUGGAGAUAGCUGAGAGGGAAAACAAGAAGAGAGGUGAGAGUUUGCAGCUUGCUGGGAACCAAGUGAUUUUGCUAAAAGGGUGACAUUCGGGUUUGAUCAUCUCCCGCUUUAGGUUUUUCACUUUUACAAUCAUACUUUACUCAUUGCUGAGGUUUGAAUGCUUGUUUUUUUUUACUACCUAAGAUGUUAAGCUUGUUUUUCAUUUCUGUUUGCCUGAUCUCUGUUUCUUCCCCCAUGAGUUGUAUGAUGAUUGUGUUAUCUGUUUGCAUUUUGAGACCAUUCAAACUUUCCCACCAGGUUUUUUUCUUAGCUUUUUUAUUUUCAUGAAAUGGAGUUGGGUUUAAUGGUAUUAUCCUCCCUUAUGCAUGCUCUGUUUUACUUCAUGGUGUCCUCUGUUUCUGGUUCUUCUUGGGUGAUUAGAUACCAUGUUUUGGGUUAAUUGUUUGAAUGAGGCUGUAUCUGAGAAGACUCAACGUCAGAGUUUUGGGAGAUAUUGUCAUGUUUGUGUGUUAGGUGAGUUGAAGGUUAUCCAGCAAGUAUGGCAUGAAGAAGAUCAGUUCUUAACAGGAUGUGAUGUUGCUUAUCUUGAUGGAGAAGACGAAAAUAACAUAGUCCAGUGAAGAAAUCCAUUCCAAUGUCAUCUCUACUCCGAUCAGAUGUUGAAAGAGGAACCUCUCCAGAUAGAUGAUAGAACGCUUCCUUCUCAAAUGUCAGAAUUCUGGGUAUAGAAGGUACUCCCUGACGUAUGGCCAAGAAAUUGGCGAACAUGCUGCCUUUAAUUCAAGGAAAUGAGAUUCCCCUGACUUCGCAUUAUGAAAGGAUUAAAAGUCUGGUUAGCCAAGUUGAGACAGCUUAUGGAGUUUUAGAGAGAAGCUAAAGAGAGAAAGACUCUGAAGAGACCAGCGUUUGUGUUUUGUGUGUGUGUGGAGACCACGACUGCCCCCACCACUGCUAGCUGACUAGAGAAGCCUAGAGAGAGACUCGUCCUCGAAUCCACAAUUCUAGAGAAAGAGGGACGCCUCCGAAUCCUAAGGAGAGAAGGAAAGAAGCUGAGUCGAGUUCUUGUUUUUGGGCUUGGUGUUUUCAAACUGAUAGAGGGAGUUUAGGUGGGGUGUGAUUUGCUCAUCUGUUGCUGUCUUUGGAUGAGUUGAAGAUCGGGAUCAGUUUGUUGGAAUCCAUGACUGCAUCGGUUAAUAUAGUUGUAGGUUCUCAUGUAUGGGUUGAAGAUCCAGUGGAUGCAUGGAUUGAUGGUGAAGUUUCUAGGAUCAAUGGUCUUGAGGUUCAUGUUCAUACCACAAAAGGAAAAACAGUUGUUGCGAAUAUGUCUAAGGUGUUCCAAAGGAUACUGGAUCUCCACCUGGAGGUGUAGAUUACUUGACAAAGCUUUCAUAUUUGCAUGAACCUGGGGUUCAGCAAAACUUGGCCUCAAGCUAUGAACUUAAUGAGAUUUAUACGUACACUGGAAACAUCUUAAUUGCAAUAAAUCCUUUUCAAAGAUUGCCGCAUCUGUAUGACACCCACAUGAUGGAACAUGUUAUAAAUAUAGAAUAAUUGUAUUCUAUUUCUUGAUUAAAGAAUAUACAUCAGUGCCUUUAUAUAGGAGGCAUAUGUGUGCGGUACAAGUAAUAUGUGUGCAGUACAAGUAAAGUGUACUAUACAAGUAACCUAACUGGGCCUAAAGCCUAUAACAUAAUAUACUUUAACAACCCCCCUCAAAUUCAAGGUGGAUGUGAGACCAACUUGAGGUUGUCAACUAAAUCACGAGUGCGUCUCUUAGGUAGUGACUUGGUGAAGAUAUCUGCAAGUUGAUCUUUGGAGGAGAUGGAAAAAAGCUUAAGAGCACCAUGGACAAGAUGAUAACGGAUAAAAUGACAAUCAAUCUCGAUGUGUUUAGUCCGUUCAUGAAAGACAUCAUUGUGAGCAAUAUGAAUGGCACUCUGGUUGUCACAAUAAAGAGGAGUAGCAAAGGAGGUGGACACACCCAAAUCCUUAAGAAGCCAUCUUAGCCAAAGGAGCUCAUAUGUGGUAUCAGCAAAGGCAUGAUAUUCUGCUUCAGUACUGGAGCGGGCCACAAAAGUUUGUUUCUUACUUCUCCAAGAAAUCAAAGAAGAACCAAGGAGGAAGCAAUAACCUGUAGUGGACCUGCGAUCAGUAGGAUCUCCUGCCCAAUCAACAUCAGAGAAUGCAAAGAGUACAAGAGAAGACUGAGCUGAGUAGAAAAGGCCAUGAAAAAGGGUACCCUUCAGGUAUCGAAGAAUGCGCAGAACAGCAGCAUAGUGAGUUGAUCGUGGAGCAGACAAAUACUGGCUCACCUGAUGAACAGCAUAGGAGAUGUCUGGACGAGUAACUGUGAGAUAAACUAAGCUGCCAACCAAUCGUCUGUAAAGAGAAGGAUUAGACAAUGGUUUCCCCCCCCGAGGGUGUCAGAUGCGCAUUAAGUUCAACUGGAGUGUCAUCAGUCUUGCUGUCAGUGAGUCCAGCUUGAGACAACAGGUCAGAAGCAUACUUGGCUUGAGUAAUAUAAAGACCAUCUGUGGAAUGAGUAAUUUCAAGACCCAAGAAAUAGCUGAGAUGUCCAAGAUCUUUCAUUUCAAACUGCUGACUGAGAAAAUCCUUGAGUUCUUGAAUGCCACUAAGGUCAUCACCAGUUAUGAUCAUAUCAUCCACAUAUAGAAGAAGUAAAAUAGUGCCUUUAUCAGUACGACGAAGAAAUAAGGCAGAAUCAUAUGGACUGGCAGUGUAACCCAAGUGAAAAAUAAUGGAGCUAAACUUGGCAAACCAAGCUCGUGGGGCUUGUUUAAGACCAUAAAGUGCACGUCGAAGAUGACAAACCUUGUUUGAUUCAAUAGAGAGACCAAGAGGAGGUUGCAUAUAGACUUCUUCACUCAGAUCCCCAUUAAGGAAGGCAUUUUUAACAUCCAUCUGAAAAAGAUCCCAUUUACGAGCAGCAGCAACAGCUAAGAGAGCACGAACAGAUGAGAUACGAGCAAUUGGAGCAAAAGUCUCUUCAUAAUCAAUCCCAUACUCCUAUGUAAAACCUUUGGCAACAAGACGAGCCUUGUAGCGCUCAAUAGAUCCAUCAGAGCGAGUCUUGAUCUUAUAGAUCCACUUACAACCAACCACAGACUGUCCAGGAGGGAGAGUAACCAAGUCCCAAGUAUGGUUUUUGGUUAAUGCAUCAAGUUCCUCUUUCAUUGCAAUCUGCCAUAAAGGGUCAGUAGAAGCCUCACGAUAGGUUUGAGGCUCGUGAAGUGUAGCAAGGGCAGUGUAACAAUGAUAGUCAAGGAGGUGUGGAGGAAUGGAUCUUACCCGGGUUGAGUGGCGAGGUGGAAUGUCUUGUGGAGGAUCUUCAGGUAGAGCAGGAGCAGGGGACCCAGGCUCAAAGUGGGGUAGCUCGUCAUCAAUCUGUUCAUCUGCAACCUGUCUAGGAGAAGCAUCAAAGAUAUCUGGAGAGAAGUCCAAAGGAGGAUAAAAAGUAUUUGUAGAAGGAACAAGAGACUCAUCUAGAAAGAUUUCUAAAACAGAUGAGUUAGUCAAGGAAGAACGAAAGUGAGAGAGUUCAACAAACAAUCGGUGUUCCCAAAAGACAACAUUACGAGAAACACGAAGACGAUGAGAGAUAGGAUCAUAACACCUAUACCCCUUUUGAGUUUCGCCAUAACCAAGGAAACAACAGAGUCUAGAUCGAGGCUCAAGUUUGUUGUGCUCAUGAGGCUGAAGAAGAACGAAACAAGCAGAUCCAAAUGAGCGAAGGUGAUGAUAGUCAGGGGGUGACCCAAAGAGACGCUCAUACCGAGUCUGAUUAUGGAUGACAGCACUUGGAAUGCGGUUAAUUGCAUGAACAGCAUGAAGACUAGCUUCACCCCAAAAUGGGGCAGGAACUUUGGCAGAAAGAAGGAGAGCACGAACAGUGUCAAGAAUAUGACGAAGUUUUCUUUCGGCUCGACCAUUUUGCUGAGAGGUACCUGGACAAGUUAGAUGAUGUAUAGUGCCAUAGGAAUGUAACAGAGCUUGAAACGCAUAUUGAGUAUAUUCAAGAGCAUUAUCAGAUCGAAAGGUUUUGAUACUUUUGAAGAAUUGAGUUUCAACCAUUUUUGCAAAAUUGCUAUAUAUUGGUAAAAUUUCAGAACGAGAUUUCAUAGGAAAAAUCCAACUAUAACGAGAAUAAUUAUCAAUAAAAACAACAAAAUAUCGAGAUCCACCAAUACUAGCAACAGGAGAAGGUCCCCAAACAUCAGAAUGAAUUAACUCAAAAAUACUAUUAGAAAUGGAUUCACUGUUAUUAAAAGGCAAAGCUGGCUGUUUUCCUAACUGACAUGAAGUGUAAUCAAAAUUGUCUUUAGACACAGAACCCAACAGACCCCUAGACACUAAUUGUUGUACCCGAGAAGAUGGUGCAUGACCAAGACGAGAAUGCCAAAGUGCAAGAGAAGGUAAGGAAGAAACUGUAGCCGCUGCAUCAGCAACAGAAACAGGAGCAAUAGGUGGAAGAUGAAGAUUGUUCACUGGAAACAUACGUCCAACUCUAGGACCGGUCUCAAGCUCCUGCCCCGUCCUCGGAUCCUGCACAAUACACCCAAAAUAGUAAAAAAUAAGGCGAUAACCUAGUUCAGCUAAUUGUCCCAUAGAGCACAAAUUAUAGGAUAGGGCAGGUACGUGGAAGACUCCAAGAACAUAAAGAUUAGAGGUUGAAACAAAACCUAGACUAUUUCCAUGCAUGGUGGAACCAUCAGCUAUAUGAAUAUUUAGAGGAUGUGGUGCAGGGUCAAGGUUGGAGAACAGGGAUGAGUGAGGUGUCAUGUGAUUGCAGCAGGCAGAAUCAAAAAGCCAAGUUUGAGACUUACCAGGUAGAACAGAUAAGGCAGUGGAAAGAGAUGCAUUACCAGCCAUACGAACAGCUUGAGCUAUGAUCUCCUGUAGUUCAGUGGAGGAGAGGUUGAUAGUAGAUCCAGAAGACUGGGACUCAGUUGAGGUGGAAGCCGUUGGCGGAGUAGGCUCAGUAUUAGCAACAACAGCAGUAGAUUUGUUACGAUGGUAACAAGUCUCAAUGGUGUGGCCAGGACACUUGCAAUAGUUGCAGAACUUCUUGUUGGUCUGCUUGCGACGAUUGCUAGAGCCAGAAAAAUCACCUAAUUGCUGAGGUUGCUCUAUGAGUGGAGUAGAUGGAGUAAUAGCCAAAACAUUGAGCUUAUUCUGGGCUUGAAGGGUUGCAAGACGAGCUUCUUCUCUAACCAACUCAUUCACAGCAGUAUCAAGAGAGGGAGCAGGACUGCGAUUUAGCAGCUGACCACGAAUGGGCUCAAAGUCCUUGUGAAGUGACAUCAAGAAUUCAUAGAGGCGAAAUUCAUCUCUGAUGGAAGCAUAUUGCUGAGCAUCUUUUGAGCAUGCCCAAGUUGGAUCAGAAAGGUCAAUUUGGUCCCAAAUGAAGCGAAGCUGAUCAUAAUAGUCAUUGAUGGAUUGCCCCGGUUCUUGCCUGAGUUGAUGCAAUUCAACCACUAACUGAUAUUUCAUGGAUCCAUGAGUAGUGGAGUACCUUUUGGUCAACAUAUCCCAUGCAGAUUUUGCAUCUUCAAAGCUGCCCAAUAUAUUGGAAAUAGAGGGAAUGGAAGUGUUCCGGAUCCAUGUGAGGAUCAUGUGGUUAUGACUAUCCCAUUCAAUCAUGCGACUAAGAAAGGCAACAUCUUCUUCACUUGCUCCCUUGACAGGAAUACUCAUUGCACCAGUACAAUAAUGCCAGAACAUGCGACUCUUAAGAAAACUGUGCAUAGCUUGAGACCAGGAUAAGUAAUUUUUAUUCCCCUCCAAUACAGUAUUGAUGGGACGAGGAAGAAAAACAUCCUUUUUAUCCAUUUAGAGACACAAUAUGCAAAAAUCGACUGCAAAAAUGAAAUCUACACGAAAAACUAGGUAAGGAGAACCUAGACAGAAAAAGUCAAUUGGAAAAGUCAACGGUCAACGGAUGAAGAUGACGUGGAGAUGACGUCAGCAGAUCAGUGGAUGCUGACGCAGCUAGGGCUGACGUGGCAGAGAUGAUGAUGUUAGCAGACCAGUCCUCGGCGCGUGAGAGCACGUGGCAGCGCGUGAAGGCGCGUGAUCAGCGUUGUAGAAUCUUUGAGCGGUGCGUGGGGGCGCGUGCGGUCUCCGAUGGCAGCGAGGGUUCCAUGAAUGUGUAGAUCGGCGCUGGACAAUCUCAGUGGUACCUUAAAAAAUGAAAUCGGAGCAAUAUUCGCAGCGGUGAUGCAAAGAGCAGUGGUCUGUGCAGUGUGAAACUCCUUAACGACGACGGCUGCAGGUCCGGAACCCAAGGACGACGGCUGGAUGACGUCGGAGGUUCAACGGCAAGAGGCUGCGGCGGCAGUUGUGAUGGCGGAAGCGUUUAGUGAAAGAAAGGAAGUCACACUAAUGAAGACAAGACUGCUAAGAAAAGGUCAGAGCAGUGGCUCUGAUACCAUGUUAUAAAUAUAGAAUAAUUGUAUUCUAUUUCUUGAUUAAAGAAUAUACAUCAAUGCCUUUAUAUAGGAGGCAUAUGUGUGCGGUACAAGUAAAGUGUACUAUACAAGUAACCUAACUAGGCCUAAAGCCCAUAACAUAAUAUACUUUAACAUGAGUCUGUAUGACACCCACAUGAUGGAACAAUAUAAGGGAGCGGGUUUUGGGGAGCUCAGUCCUCAUGUGUUUGCUGUUGCAGAUGUUGCAUACAGGGCAAUGAUUAAUGAAGGAAAUGAGAUAGAUUCCUCAGUCAUCAAGGAUGAACAGUCCAGAUUCCAUCAUAACAAUGACGACCCCAUCAAACCAUACCACUCACCAAACCAUCCUUGCCUUCAUAUUUCUUUCAUACCCAUUUCUUCCACUACCUGUGAUUUUACUCUAACCCACUCCAUGCUCAUGAUCAUUCUCAUUUCCUCACAUCCUCAUUCAUACCCACCAUACCCACUACCGUUCAUACUCACCAUUUUUCCAUUUUCCUUAUCUAUCAUACCGCUUCUUCCCACCACCCGUUCCACCAAUAAUACUCACUCCCAACCCACUUCCAGUCUCUUUCCUUUCAUUUUCCAUGAACGUAAAUCCCAUGCAAAAUAUCACUCAUGUUUUAUUCCUCUUCUCAUCCUUUGUACUAACCAAAAACCCAAUCACCUGGACCACUUGCCCGACACCAUUCAACUUUGAUCCCUCCGUGUUACCAGUACCUCUUCCCCAUUCUCCUUGCCACACACUCCAACCUUAUACACCCAUUUUGAGACCGAAAUAUUCUCUUGUUUGAUGAUGGAGUUCUGCCCAAGAGGUGAUUUACUCACACUUAGGCAGAGGCAACCUGGGAAACAUUUUUCUGAGCAAGUUGUAAAGUUCUAUGUAGCAGAGGUUCUUCUUGCUUUUAAAUGCCUUCACAUGCUCGGGAUUGUUUAUCGUGACCUGGAACCAGAGAAUGUCCUUGUGAGGGAAGAUGGGCACAUUAUGCUUUUUGAUUUUGACCUCUCUCUCCGGCACACUGUCAGUCCGACACUGGUCAAGUCCCCUUCUUUUGGCACCAAAUCCUUACGAAAGGAUCCAGUAUAUGGUGUCCGACCUACAUGCAUUGAACCUUCUUAGAUUCAGUCAUCCUAUGUGGCCCCAACAACACGUUUUUCCCCUCUAUUAAGGAAAUUAUAUGUUAGUUAUUGUAUGAUUAUCUUGACAUAAUUAGCUGAUUGUAUAAGAGCAUAAUUAGCCUUAUAUUUCUGAUUCUGUAGCUAUAAUUUAGGAGAAGAUUAGAUCAAACAUGUGUAUAUAUAUACUACAUUCUGUUAAUGAGAAAAGUAUCCAAUUUGAAGCCAAUCUCUUUAUUCUUGUUAUGGUAUCAGAGCAAGAACAACAAACCACCAUGGCUGGCAGUCAGAAGGCUUCUGGAUCAGAAAACAAGACCAUCGAUCCUUCACAUCCCCUCUAUAUUCAUCAUUCAGAUCAACCAGGCCAUGUUUUGGUGCCCAUCAAAUUAAAUGGGGUCAACUAUCAAUCAUGGAGCAAAUCAGUUAUUCAUGCCCUUACUGCCAAGAAGAAGAUCGGCUUCGUCGACGGGACAAUUGAAGAACCAUCGCAGGAAGAUGAACCCUUUAUGUUUGAACAGUGGAAUCAAUGCAACAGCAUGAUACUUUCUUGGCUAACUCAUGUUGUUGAAUCGGACAUUGCUGAAGGAAUUAUCCAUGCUAAAACAGCACGCGAAGUGUGGGUUGAUUUACGCGACCAGUUUUCUCAAAAGAAUGCUCCAGCGGUUUUUCAAAUACAGAAAUCAAUCGCCACCAUGUCGCAAGGAACGAUGACAGUAGCUGCAUAUUUUACAAAGAUCAAAGCCUUAUGGGACGAGCUUGAGACAUACCGUUCCCCACUGACCUGCAACCAACGACAAGCACAUCUCGAGCAAAGGGAGGAAGACCGUCUUAUGCAAUUUCUAAUGGGUUUGAAUGAGUCAUAUAAGGCAGUGAGAUCCAAUAUUUUGAUGAUGUCGCCAUUGCCCAAUGUCCGUCAAGCAUACUCUUUAAUUGUCCAGGAAGAGAUGCAACGACAAGUUUCUUCUGAGCCAACCGAGAAUUUCUCAAUAGCUGCCGUAGUCCCGGGAAAAUGAGGUAAUCCAAGACAGAAAAUGUGUGACCAUUGUAACAGAUCUGGACAUACCAUAGAUGAAUGUCGGACUCUUAAAUUUCACUGUAAGUUCUGUGAUAAAAGAGGUCACACGGAGGAUAGAUGCCGACUGAAAAAUGGGAGCAAUAACAAAACGGGACAAUUCUGAGGACAACGUCCUUUUGGUCGUGGGAAUCAGCCCUCAGCAAACGUGACAGAAUCCCAGGAAAUGUCUGAUUCGACUUCUUCUAGUACAGUCCAGGGGUUCACUACAGAACAAAUACAACAGUUGGCUCAAGCAAUUCGUGCAUUAAAUCACAGUAAUUCCGGUAAUAUUGACGCAUAUGCAAAUGCUGCAGGUUUGAUUCCAUCAACUCUUGUGUCUGUUAAUUCUAGUAGUACAAGUUCUUGGAUUUUGGAUACAGGUGCCACGGAUCACAUCGUUUCCCACAUGUCUCUUUUCACUGAUCUCAAACCUUCUAAUGUCACAAUUGUUAAUUUACCAAAUGGUGCAGCAUCACCAAUAACACACACUGGCACCGUUAUUUUUUAUUCCCAAUUGACCCUUAAAGAUGUUUUAUGUGUCCCAUCCUUUAACUUGAAUUUAAUUUCGGCUAGCAAACUCGCAAAAGAUCAGAAUUGCUGCAUCAUAUUCUUUCCUGACUAUUGUAUUUUGCAGGACUUGGUUUCGGGGAAGAUGAUUGGCUCGGGUAAACAGCGUGGUGGUCUAUACUACAUGCAUCCAUCAACAAAUAAAUCGGUUNNNNNNNNNNNNNNNNNNNNNNNNNNNNNNNNNNNNNNNNNNNNNNNNNNNNNNNNNNNNNNNNNNNNNNNNNNNNNNNNNNNNNNNNNNNNNNNNNNNNNNNNNNNNNNNUCUAUACUACAUGCAUCCAUCAACAAAUAAAUCGGUUGUCUUUCAUGUUUCUCAACCGUCUGACUUAUGGCAUUUACGCCUGGGUCAUCCCUCUUUUUCUCGUUUUAAAUUAUUAUCACAUUUGCUUCCAGAUAUUCAUAAAGAAUUAGGAAAUCAUUGUCCAAUUUGCCCACAGGCUAAGCAGACACGCUUGCCCUUUCCCAAAAGUUCAAUAACUACAAAAUUUCCUUUUUCUCUUUUACAUUGUGAUGUCUGGGGUCCUCACAAAAUUCCUGCACAUACUGGUUCACGUUAUUUCCUUACAAUUGUUGACGAUUUUUCUCGUUGCACAUGGAUUUUCCUUAUGCAUCAUAAGUCAGAAACACAAUCUUUGUUAACUAAUUUUGUGCAAUUCGUCAAAACUCAAUUCCACAUAGAUGUUCAAACGGUAAGAAUGGAUAAUGGCACAUAAUUUAUUCCUCUUCGCAUCUUUCUUCAAAAUAAAGGAAUCGAACUUCAAACCUCUUGCAUUUACACUCCGCAACAAAAUGGAGUUGUAGAACGCAAACAUCGACACAUUUUAAAUGUUGCCCGUUCUCUCAUGUUUCAAUCAAAUGUCCCACUUGAGUUUUGGGGGGAAUGUGUUUUAACAGCCAUUUAUCUGAUAAACCGCAUUCCGACUCCAUUGCUCUCAAACAAAUCACCAUUCGAGGUCUUAUAUAAUCGGCCUCCUUCACUCACACAUUUGCGAGUUUUUGGUUGUGAAUGCUAUGUAAUGUUCACCCCAAACAGAAAUUUGACCCUCGGGCAUCUAUUUGUGUUUUUUUGGGGUAUCCACAUGGAAAAAAAGGCUAUAAAGUACUCGAUUUGCAAACACAAAAAAUAUCAGUCAGCCGAGAUGUAUUCUUUAGGGAAAAUAUUUUAUCUUUCCAUUCUAGUUCUUCUCAAUCUCUACAACUUUCACCUUCUCUUCCUUUACCGCUUCCCAUUUCUUUCGAUUCCACACCUCAGCCGAUAUCUCUUCCUCGUUUUUCUCCAAGUUCCACUCCUCCCUUGUCGCAUCACAAUCCUGUAUCAUCUCCACUUUCCUCUAAUACUGAUGUUCCCGAACCUUUAUCCCCAGAAUCAGUUGCGUCACCCUUACCUUGUUCUCCAUCUCCUUCUUCGCUUUCUUCCCCACCUUCAGUGCCCUCAGUACCCUCCAACACGUCAACCCCUUCCCCCACCCAUGAACCCCCUCUUCGACGUUCCACUCGUCAUAUUCAGCCUCAUGCCUGGCACCACGACUAUGCCAUGUCUACCCAGCUUAAUCAUUCUUCCACGCAAUCAAGUUCUCGUCAAGGUACAAGGUAUCCCCUCUCUUCUCACCUUUCUUUUUUUCGUUUUUCACCCCAUCACCGUGCUUUUUUAGCUCUUUUGACAGCCCAAACCGAACCUUCAUCCUUUGAACAAGCUGACUGUGAUCCACGUUGGCGCCAAGCCAUGUCCACCGAACUUCAGGCUUUAGAACGAAAUAACACUUAAGAGAUGGUCCCUCUUCCUCCGGGACACAAACCCAUUGGCUACCGCUGGGUGUACAAGAUCAAAUACCAUUCUGAUGGAACCAUUGAAUGCUAUAAAGCCCAUUUGGUUGCCAAGGGCUACACACAGGUCGCCAGUAUCGACUAUCAGGAAACCUUUUCUCCAACUGCCAAACUCACCACUCUUCGCUGUUUGCUGACUGUCGCAGCUUCCAGAAAUUGGUACAUCCAUCAGCUUGAUGUGCACAACGCAUUCCUUUAUGGCAAUUUACAAGAAGAGGUUUAUAUGACUCCACCUCCUAGUCUUCGCCGACAGGGGGAGAAUCUGGUAUGUCGGCUUCGCAAAUCUAUUUACGGUUUGAAACAGGCAUCACACAAUUGGUUCUCAACUUUUACAGCUACUGUUAAGUCUGCGGGUUACAUACAGUCCAAAGCAGAUUAUUCACUUUUUACUAAAUCCCAAGGUAACAAGUUCACUGCUAUUCUCAUUUAUGUUGAUGAUAUCCUAUUGACUGGUAAUGAUUUGCAUGAAAUCAAGAUGCUCAAGACUCAUCUGCUCAAGCGUUUUUUUUAUUAAAGACCUCGGUGAAUUGAAAUAUUUUUUGGGUAUAGAAUUCUCUCGCUCUAAAAAGGGAAUCUUUAUGUCUCAAAGAAAAUAUGCAUUAGAUAUUUUGCAAGACACAGGAUUGACAGGAGUGAAGCCCGAAAAAUUUCCGAUGGAGCAAAACUUGAAAUUGACUGAUGAAGAUGGCGAGUUACUUCAUGAUCCAAGUAGGUAUCGGAGACUGGUUGGCAGAUUAAUAUACUUGAUUGUAACCAGGCCUGACAUAGUGUAUUCAGUACGUACACUAAGUCAAUUCAUGAACACACCUCGGAAGCCGCACUGGGAAGCAGCAUUACGGGUCCUCCGAUAUAUUAAAGGAUCACCAGGUCAAGGUCUUUUUCUUCCAUCUGAAAAUAAUUUAACACUCAGCGCAUUUUGUGAUUCAGAUUGGGGAGGAUGUCGUAUGUCAAGACGUUCCGUUUCUGGUUAUUGUGUUUUCCUCGGAUCAUCACUCAUCUCUUGGAAAUCAAAAAAACAAACGAAUGUUUCACGUUCGUCAGCAGAAGCAGAGUACAGAGCAAUGGCGAAUACUUGCCUGGAAUUGACUUGGUUGAGGUACAUACUUAAAGAUUUGAAGGUUGAAUUGGACAAACCAGCACCAUUGUUUUGUGAUAAUCAAGCAGCUUUAUAUAUUGCGGCUAACCCAGUUUUUCACGAACGUACUAAACACAUUGAGAUUGAUUGUCAUAUAGUUCGAGAAAAACUUCAAGCUGGGGUAAUUCGUCCGUGUUAUGUUUCUACAAAAAUGCAGUUGGCGGACGUUUUUACAAAGGCACUUGGCAGGGAGCAGUUCGAAUUUUUGUGCACCAAGUUGGGAGUUCUUGAUUUGCACUCUCCAACUUGAGGGGGAGUAUUAAGGAAAUUAUAUGUUAGUUAUUGUAUGAUUAUCUUGACAUAAUUAGCUGAUUGUAUAGGAGCAUAAUUAGCCUUAUAUUUCUGAUUCUGUAGCUAUAAUUUAGGAGAAGAUUAGAUCAAACAUGUGUAUAUAUAUACUACAUUCUGUUAAUGAGAAAAGUAUCCAAUUUGAAGCCAAUCUCUUCAUUCUUGUUACCCUCGCCUAUUUUCAAGUAAAUCCAAAAAGGUCCGGAAACCCAAGAAUGAAAUUGGAAACUAAGUGAGCCCAUUGCCAGAGCUCAUUGCAGAGCCAACUGGGGCUCACCCGAUGUCAUUUUUGAAGGCGCACGAGUAUAUAUGCACCUGAAAUCAUCAAGGGUGAAGGUCAUGGCAGUGCAGAGGACUGGUGGACCUUUGGAAUUUUUUAAUAUGAGCUACUCUUUGGUAAGACUCCUUUUUAAAGGAUUCGGGACUCUGAACCCCUUGCAAGACUUUCAGUUGCUACACAAUGCUACCUUUUGCAACAAUGGAUAAUAGCAAGACGCCAAUGUGGAGGGGCUUAUCAGCAUGGCGCGCUUCUCAGUCGUGAUUCGGCCAUCAGGUCGCAUUUCUUGGUACUUCUGGAACGGAAACGAAAGUCGUCUAUAGUUAGUCCUUGUAGACAGGAGGGCUUCAUCAUAGUGUUUGAAUUUUGAUGAUGGGUUGAAUAAUCUGUUUGCAUUGUGUAGCUCUGCUGCUAGGGACCUCUUUUAUUCCUCAGAAAGUGAGUGGGAAUUAUAAAAAUUAUGUGAAGCGGAAGUUUCUGCAUCGGGUCUUCAGGUCCGCGUUUCAGGUCCUUGCUACACAGGCAAUGUUUCAGGCAAUGGAAGCCGAACACUCUAGAUUCAUCUCAUCUGCUGCUGCCCUGAACUGGGUCUUGAAGAAUGGUCUUGGACAUUUAUUGUAGGUGUAUCUACACAGCAAGUCUUGCAUCCGCUUUUGAUACCAAACUAAAGUGGGUAACCUUGGUGGAAUUUCAGCAAAGACACAGAUCCGAAUGGUUGACGGAUCAAGUUUAAAUCCAUUUGAGAACGAGAACAAAGACUAUGAUGUCACCCAUCCUAUUACAGCAGAGGAAGCGGUGUCGAAGGUCAAUUCAUCAUCGCAUGGAAAUUGGCUAAGGUGAUAUUACCAGGAGUUCUGGGUUUGAAGAUACAGCAUGAAAAUUUGAUUCACCUUUGGCUUCUGGAAGUUAUGGAGCCCAGACAAGUGUUCCUCAUAAUGGGUACGUCAAUGGGGUGGUGAAACAUGUGGAUGGCCAGCUCAUAUAGAAAGCUCAAGUGAUUCAGUUGAAGAUAGACUAUUGAUACAGAAAACAUAGUGAUACUCCGAGAUUCACACCUAUAUGGUCUGCAUUCUCCAUUUUUUUCAUUUAUGCAUGGACUGCAUAUGGCCGCCUUUGACCCACGUGCUAUUUCCCAUUUUACCAUCUUGUACUUUUUAAAAUAAUUUUCUAAAUAUUUUCCUUCAAAUAAAUUUCUGGGUUAUAUUUUCUAAAUAGUACCAACUCCAAGGUGACAUUUGUUUUUUUGGCUUGAUUCUAAAUAGAACUUAUAUUUAACUUAAUACUAAAUAGUGAUUAAUAGUAUUAAGUAUUAAGUUGUUUGUUUUUUUAAUAUUUUAUUUCUAUUAAGUAUUACGUUGUUUGUUUUUUUAUAUACUAAAAAUCAAUAUCUUAAUAUUUUAAUGUAUUAAAAAAAUAUAAAUUUAAAGUAUUUCUAAAAAGUUCAAAAUAAUAAAAUUGUUAUAAUAAAUAAUUUAUCAUUAUCAUUCUUACAAAAUAUAAUUAAUAUAUUUAUUUUUUAUAUAAUUAAAAUAAAAUAUUUAAACUUAAUAAUCUAAAAAACAAUAGAUUGAUAAAACCUGAAAAAUAAAUUUUGGAUAGAAAACAAUUUAUUAAGAAUUUUUUUUGUAAAUACGUAAUUAUUUAAAAACAAUUAAGAUGUUUUAAAACUUUAUUUGAGAGUGCUAUUAUCAACAAUGGAAAUAAUGAAUAAUAUUGAAAAAGUAAAUAAGUUUUUUUUUUUACUUUUACCUUCAUGAAGAAUAAUAACAAAAAAAAAAAAAACUAUUUUGUAUAUUUGAGAAUAAUUAAAAACUGUUCUUAAAAAUUAUUUUAAAAAAUUACUAUAUUUUAAAACAAUCUCAAAUUAAACACCCUUCUAUCCUUAACUACUAAACUAGGAAUCUCCAAUGUCUCUUUAUUUUUUUCGCCUUUUUGGAGCCGUAAUUAUUGUUUUUCAAUUUCUUUAGAUUGGAUUGCCAAGGUUACCAUCUUCAAUCUCAAAUUAAUUUAAUAACUUUAAAUUAUUUCAUCUUAAUGCAUCUUAGAUUCUUAAACCAAGGCCUUCAAAAUUUGGAAGAAACUUGACUAGGGCAAGCUAUUUCCAGGAUUACUUCCUAUCCGAGCCAAGGUUGGGACUAGCACGGAUUUGCAGCCAAAUAAGGACCUUAGGGUUUUACAAGGGUUUGACUCACAGAAUGUGCCAUUGCUACUGCCGGUGACCUUUUCUGCCAGAAAUCAUGAAUUUCAGGUUUCAAAACCUCCUGGGAGCUCCAUACAGAGGUGGAAACGUCGCCUCUUCGAACAAAACUCUCCUCAUCUCUUCCGUUGGCAACCGUAUCUCCGUCAUCGAUCUCCUAAAAUCCCAAACUCAAACUCUCCCUACAUAGUCCUCCUCCAACAUCGCUCGCAUCGUCAUCUCUCCUUACGGCAAUUUCCUCCUCGCUGUUGUAGAGAGCUACAAGGGAUGGGUGGGUAGGUUUGGGCAUCGGGUUGCAAUUGUAUUUGGUAAAGGUUUAAAAAAUUGGCUUUUUCUAAAUAGAAAAGGCCAAAUAUUUAGCUUUUUCUAUUUAGUUAAAAAUUUUAAAAAUUCAGUAAUAAGUCAUCAAAAAUUAAAAAAACAAACAACCUAAAUUCUAAAAGCAAAUUACUUUCAGUAAAAAACCAAAAAAACAAACGCCACUCAAGUCUUUUUUUCAUCCUUAGAGUUUUCAGGUCUUAAAAGUCUCAUUUUCAAUAAAAUUUUGCUACUAUUUUUCUUUCUGGCAAAUAACUUUCAUAACUCCUCUGAUUUUUUUUUAAUCGUUUUAAAAUAAGCAAGAAUUAAUUAUGUAAUUUCAAGUGAUGGAAUUUAUGGAAUUAAUUCAUAAAAAAAUAAAUUGGACUAUGGUGGAGCCCGACAUCAAAUAAAUUUUCUUUAAAAUAAAAAUGGAUUUGAAUGAAAUAUCAUGCAUACUAUCGGUGGUUAUUCAUCUUGUUUGGUGAUAUGAGUGACAUAUUUUAUAUUAAUUAAUUGUGCACUAACCUCGUUUCUUGAUAGCGCAUGGUGGCUCGUUGCCCAGGUACGCAUCCUUCCCCAUUCUAGUCAUUCUCUAUGCAUGUUUUGAUUCUCAUAUGGGCAUGAUAGUUCCGGGUAUUCAUUGAUUUCCUCAUCAAUUGCCAUGUUAGCUUCAUUUUAUUAGUAAAGACUCGUUCUUAGGGAUUUAGAGGGUGCUACGGUCUUUACUGUACCUUCCCAAUGAGUAACCUGACCCCCGAACCCGAUCCGGUUUCUCACAUACCACCUUUUCCAAAAUAAGGAGUCACACUAAGGGUUUUUCUUUCUUAUUUUGUUUACCCUUUUAAAAAUAAAACAAAAAUAAGUGGUGACUCCAAGUCAUUUUCCAAUAAAUAAAAUCAUUUUUUCAAAUAAAAAUUGAACUCGCCAUCGAGUGGAAAACGUAUGAGUCGAAAUGCGGGGUCCACAUUCUGUUAUGCCGCUUAAAUGUACUUUGUCUAGCUGAUUAUUCUUCCAUAAUUAGGGUGCAUUAGGUGGUCCACUUUAAUUGAGGCUUUAAGCUUAUCCAAGGUACCCAAAAUUAAUGCUAUCCCACUACUGUCUACUUAAGCCUUGGGCCACGUUAUUAUGGUGUAGACCCCAAAAUUUGUCCCAAUUUUAUUUUUACAUUAAUUUUGAGCUUAAUUUUAAAUCUCAAUUACAUGUGUUAUUUUAGGCCCACUCACCCGUUAAUUUUUUAUCUUUAUUAAUUUGUAAAUUAUUAUUUUUUUAUAUUUUAUUUUAUUUUAUUUAUUAUUAUCAUUAUUAUUAUUAUUAUCAUGUUUAUUAUUAUUAUUAUUAUUAUAUUAUAUUUUUAUAUUUUUAUUUUAUUUUAUUAAUUUUCUAUUUUAUUAUUUUAUUUUUUCUCUCCUCUCUCUUCCUUUUUUCUCCCCCACUUACCUUCACCUACCCACUUCUUCUCUCUUUCCUCCCACACCACCGGCCACCAUCAAAAUCUCUCGUUAUUUUAUUUUAUUUUUUAUUUAUUUUUAUUCUCUUUUCAUUUUCCCCCCAUUUUUCCCUUCCCACGCGGGGACCCCUCUAUUCUCCUUCCCCCAACUCUCUAGCCCUUUUCUCUGCCAAAAGACACCCACAUGGCUGGAUUUUUUUUUGGUCGGCUCCCUAUGUUUUUUUCUUCUUUUUUCUCUCCCCCAAGAGAACACACCCGACGGCCAUCUCCCCAGCUCCGUCCUUCCUUUUUUUUUUUUUUUCCCUUCCCAACAACACAUGUCGACCCAUUCUUUCCUCCCAUCUCUUCUUCCCCCCAACUCAUUUCUUCCAUUUUCAUUUUCAUUUAUUCAUUUACUAUUAUUAUUAUUAUUAUUUUCUCUUUCCCCCCUUAAACUCUCACAUUGCCGGCGGCGUGACGCCGGUGCCUUUUCUGGCCCCCCUCCAUUCCCAUUUUCUCCCAUUUUAUUUAUUUAUUUAUUUUUAUUUAUCUUUAUUCUAUUUUAUUUUUGUUUCCAAAAAGCUAUCCACUGCCACCGGCGAGCCCCAGUCGGCCGAUAAUCUCUUCCAUUUUUCUCUCAUCUCUCACUUUCCCGUAUCACUCAUUUUCCCUUAUUAUUGUUGUUGUUGUUGUUGUUGUUGUUGUUAUUGUUAUUAUUUUAUUUUAAUAGUAAUUGUUGUUUGUAAAAUUUGGACUGUUGAAUUAAUAUGAAAUUUAGGGUUAAUUUGUUGUUGGUAGAUUAAUAUGUAAUUUGGUUUAAUUUAUUGUUAGUGAAUUAAUUUGAAAUUUGUUAAUUUGGGUUUAUGGGUAUAUUGCAUUUGGUGAUUAAUUUGGGAUAUUUGGAUUAUAUCAAUUGCAUACUGUUUAUUUGGACUUGAGCCUAUUGUUAAUUUAUUAUUUAUUUGGGCUCGUUGGAUUGAACUUAAUACAUUAUUACCUUUGGCUAUAUAUAUUAUUAAUGUGGGCUUGUUAAUUGGAUAUUUCUUUGGACUUAUUAGAUUGGCCUUGAAAUAUUAUUUCCUUUGACCAUGUAUAUUUUUUUUUAUGUGAGCUUGUUAAUUGAUGUGAAUUUUGGGGCUCAUAAUGUAAGUGAGAUUUGUUGGAUUAUUUGAAUAUUUUAUAUGGGCUUGGCCAAUUUGAAUUAUUUAAUUUGGACAUGGGACAAUUGUGGUGUAUAUUAAAUUAGGCUUAAAUUAUGGAAUAUUAAAUUUAGGCCUAGUAGAAUUUAUUUUAAUUUAUCCAAUUUUAGGUUUGGUUGAUUGUGUUUGUAUUUUUGGUUAUUAAUUUGGAUGUUCUAGGUAAAGACCUAUAGUAAUUUGGGCUUAUUUUAAUUGGUGAAAUUUAUGGGACUAAUUUGAAAUUGGAAUUUGGGUUUCAAUAUUUGUUUGGGAUUUUGUAUAUCUCUGGAUAUUUACAUUUGUACUAUUCUUGUUUUUGCAUGGACCCACUUUGCAAUCUUGUUAGCGAAGUACGAAUUGAUGACACGUGGAGCUUGUUAUAAGUUUAUUUGAGUACAUAUUUCAUUUCCCACUUUUAUUUUAUUUUAUUUUUUAUUAGUUCGUGUAAAUAUUCGUUCGUAUGUAUUUAUUGAGUGUGUACAGAAUUGAACAUCGAACAAACUGUAAAUUUUGUUUAAAUGAGAGGAAGAAUUUAGUAAAUAUGUUUUGAUAAAACAAUAAUUUUAAAAUAUUAUUUUUAAUAAAAGAAAGUUUUUUUUUCAUUAUUUAUAAAAAUUCAGAAAAAUGCGUUUAGAAAAAUCCAAAAAAAUUGUUUUUAAUAGAAUUCGAAAAUUUUUUUAAUAACAUUGUCCAAAAAUUUCUUUGUUUAAUAAAAAUUGUCCAAAAAUUUAUUUUUGUAAUUAAAGUUGUCCCAAAAAUUAUUUUUUAAUAAAAUUGUCUAAAAAUAUAUAUAUUUUUUCAAACGAAUUCUUUUUCCUUAAUUAAAAUGAGAUUAAAAGUGUUUUUAAAAAAUAGAGGAUUUAAAUCUUUGUGUUUUUUUUAAUUAAAAUUUCUUUUGCAAAUAAAGUUAUGUCAUUUUAAAUAAUUUGUAAAAAUCUCUUCUUCUUUUUUUAAUAAAAAUGAAUCUAAAUACUUUUAUAAAUAAAAUUGUAAAAAUUCAUUAUUUUCUAGUAAAAGUAAGUAAAAAUAAUUUUUGUACCAAAAUUGAAAUUUUGUAAUAAAUUCUUUUGAUACAAUAAGUGUAAAUAGCUUUUUUUUUUUUUUUAAAUUGAAUACAAGUGAAAUUGAGAAAAUAAAUUAAUUCUUUUUGUAAGUAAAUAAAUUGAAAUCACUAAUUCAAAAUCAUUUUUAAUAAAAUCCAGCUGAAAUUUCUUUAAAACUUUUUUUUAAUAUCUUUUAUUUAUUUAAUUCAACAAAUCAUUUUGCAUAAUUCUCUUAUUAUUUAUUUUGUAUAUUUUUUGUAAUUAGAUUUCAUCAUUGUUUUAGUGUAUAUUGAUUUCUAUCAUGACUUGUACAUUGAUUAUUUUUCUUGGUAUCCAUAAUUGAUUAAUUAAUUGCCACAAUUCCCUUAAUUCGUUUAGUAGAGGCCAUAUGUAUACGGGUUUAGAGGGGUGCUGCGACUCACCACCGUACCUUCCCAAUGAGUAACCUGAUCCUUAGACCCAGACUUAGUUUUUCACAAACCUGUUUUUCCUUCAGGAGUCACACUUAGGGUUUUUUUUUCUUAUUUUAUUUUUCCCUUUAAAAAAAUAAAACAAAAAUAAGUGGUGACUCCAAGUCAUUUUCUAAUAAAUAAAAUCAUUUUAAAAUAAAAUCAAGCUCUCCAUCGAGUGGAAGUGCAUGAGUAGAAAUGCGGGGUCCACGUAUGGCUUUUUUAAUAUUCUCCAAGCCAACUGUUUCACCUAUCUUAACCCCUUUUUGUCGUCUUCAUACCAAUCGAGUUCAUGGAAUGGUUGAAAAAGGCCAAUACUUCCCCUUGGACUAGACUCUAAAUCAUAUGGUCGAAAAAGCCAUUCAGGGGACCCAAAUGACCUUCCCGUUGAAAAUUUGAAAAUGGGUAAUUAUAUUUUGGACCUAAUUGAGCUCAAAAAUGAAACUUUGGUUCAUAUAAGUUCAUUAUUUAAGCCCAAGAUCCAGAGAAAGUGUGAAAAUUGGGAAGGAGUAUAAGAAUUUUAUAUUUCCGAAAAUGACCUUUGUUGACUAUGAAAAAAGAGAGUAGAAAAUCAUUAAUUUAAAUUUUAUUUCUUUUGUAAACCUCAAUAAAAUUCAAUAUAAUUUAGUGAUUUGGAAAAAAAUACACAAUUUUCCAAAAAAAUAAAAUAAAUUAUUAUUAUUAUUAUUUAAAAAUCAAACAUUUUAGAAAAUAUAUAUUUUUGAAAUUGUGUAUAUAAAAAAUAACUAAAAAUAUGUCAAAUUUAUUUUUUUUAAAUGAUAUAUUUUUAGAAUAUAUUUUUUAAAACAUUAGUUUUUUAAAAAUAAUAAAUUUUUAGAAUAAUUAUUAAAAAAAAUUAAAAUAAAAAGGUUUGUUAAAUAUUAUGGUAGAAAAUAGUUUUGAAGAGUAUAUCGGUCUUCAUAUUUUAUAUCAUUCCCAUCAAUUAUAUAAUUUAUAAUAAUAAAGGUUAAUUUUUGGCCCAAGUCAAUAACACAAUUGUCCCAAGGUUGCCAGGUGAACAUUUAGUAUGGCGUUGCAGAAGUUGCCAUCCACCACCAUAAAGGUUAAUUUAUUUAACGUGGUGCCGUUUGAGAAAGGGCAUUGAUGUGGAGAUUGAUACGACGCGAAGGAGUGGAGCCUUAUUCACUGCUGAUGCUGGGUGGUCGGGUCACGGAUGUUAUUCACCUGAAACUGAAAGGGAGGUCUCCUAACUCACAUUAUCACACCUGCUCUCUUCCCUCUCCUCUUUCCCAAUUCCCAACCCAGAUACCCAAUAUGGUGUCCGGUUUUUUACCAAGAUAUUCUUUUUUGAAACAAUUUUCCAAUGCAAACGAACCAAGACCUAUUUUCCAAAUAAAAAUAUUUUGUUUAAUAUGAUGGUUUUUGAAACAAAUUUUUGUUUGCAAAGUCAAUUUUAUUUUUUAUCUAUUCAUUGUAUUAAUAAUUGUUCAUUAAAAUAUUAUUUGAAAAACGCUUAAAGAACAUCUCAAAUUUAUUUUUAAAAUUCAUCAUGGUUUUAAGAAUAAUUCCUGAAAAGCUAUUUUCAAUAUAAAAAUUAUCAUGCAUAUUUUUAUAGUUAAAAAUCAUAAUCCUUUUUUUUUUAUUUUAAGAUAUCUCGGGUAAGCAUAAAUGAGAUUAACCUAGUUGAAUAUGAUUUAUCCGAUAUAAUAAUUGGUACAAAAAUUAAAAAUAAUUUUUUUUAAAUAUUAGGCAUAAUAUAUUUUUAUUUUAAAAAUAUGAAAUAUCAGAAAAGAAUUAAAAAAAAAAAUUGUUAUAAAAUAUGUUAAAAUAUUAUAUUCCACCUCUCUUAAGUCUUUACCAACAAUCAUUGUGGAUGCCCAAAAUAGUCCACUUUAUUAUUAUUUAUUAUUUUUAUUUUUUGUGUUUUUAAUUCUCAUAUCAUAUUCAAAUAUGUUGUCGUUUGAAUACCUGGGGAGGUCGCUUCUAUCAUCCUUAAAGUCUAUGCAUCAGAAUUUGAAAUUUGAUUCCAUUGUUUUACUUUUAAUAAAGUAGAAAUAUGAGUCAUGGAUGUAUUGGGCAAAAAUUUCGCUUGAGGGGAGGGGAGGGAUAGGGGAAGGUGGUACGGGCAAUGCCAUUAAACUAUCAUUUCAACACAAAUUAAUUAUUCUAUAUAUAUAUAUAUGUUGUGAAUCAAAACUGGGAAAAAUCCACCUCUAUUGAUCAACAACCUUGGCUAAUAAAAUAGCCUUACAAUAACUAAUUGAUAAGAAAAAUAGCUCACGUUUUACACUAACAAAUAACGUAGUAAAGAGUAGAAAAUAAGUCAAAACUGGAAACUACCCUGCUUAAUAGGGAUUAUUAAAACAAAAAAAACUAAACAAUCAGAAACUUAAAUCUUGACAAUAUAUAUAUAUAUAUAUAUAUUAUUUUAAUUUGAAAAUUAAUAAUUAAAAAGAUUAAGCACAUUGUAGCUCUUUGGCCCUGGCUGUGUCCACGGCCUGGCCCUGCUCUCCAAUGCCGCCGCCAAUGCUUGGUCUAUGGUGAUGAUUUCUGGCUCUUGCAACUUCCAGGAGCUUGAUAAGGUGGCCGCCGUCGAGCCUUUCUCCAAGUUAUGUGCAAAAGCCACUGAUAUUAAUUUCCCAAAUACCUAAGAGCCCUUUUAAAGUCCUGAUCAAGCUCUUUCUGGUCGGCCCGAUGGUUGUUACUUGGAUCUUCCAAAUGAUAUUCUCCACCAAACUGUUUCUCAAUCCGAGGCCGAGAGUCUGUCGGAUGCUGUUGAGGACAAAGCCACAAUUGUGUCAUCCAAUAAAUGUUGUUCUUUUCUAUUUUUCAUAAUAAAACAAGGGAAAAUCAUCUAAUCAUACACUAAAUACAAAAAAUAUGAGAUUUUGGAAUUUUACCAUUUUCUUUUUAAUUUUGGUGUAAAAUGGAAAAAAGUAUUGUCUAUUCAUGCACUCCAAUAGUGCUUUCAAAUUUGUUUCACAAUUACCCUUAAAAGUAAAGGAAAAAGUAUAAACCAAUUUAAUACCACAUGUUAACAAGUACACGUGUCAUUUAUUUUUAUUAUUUUUCUCACAUCAACAUAUUUCCCUUACCACUCGUCACGUUUCUUUUUUUUUUUUUUCUUCUUCUUCUGCCACCAUAAUCCAUUGUCACCUAUUAUAGUUUUUAUUAUUCAUUUUUUCCCUUUAUAUUGUUUUUAAUAUGCUCGUGUAUUUUCUCAUUAAACUUCUUUAAUCUUAAUUUAUUUUUACUCUCUAAUUUGUCUAUAUUUAUUGAUUUUAAUUAUUUUUUUGACAUAUUAAACUUAAAAUGAUAAUAUAUAAUAAAUAAUUAAUAUAACAAAUUAAAUAAAGACAAAAUAUAUAAUGGACAAAAAUAAAAGUAUUAUCCCACAAAUAAUAAUGAUUUUAAAUAUUAAUUAUAAUAAUACAUUUUAUAAAUUAAGGUUUAAAUUUAAAAUUUCCAUUUUAUUAUUCAGAAGUUUAUGAUAUAAGAUUUUUUUAUAUUAAUACUAAACAAAAGAUUUAUUUAUUUUGUAAAUUCUAUCACAUGUAAAAGUAAAAAUAUCAUUGUAAUACUAUUUUAUUAUUUACAUUAUUUUUCUUUUAAUUUUCAUUUUAAAUUUAUCAUAUAAAAAUCACAAUAAGUGAUGGUGCUUUUAUCAUUUUUCUUAUAAUUUUAAAUUGUUGUGGAUCUAAACUUUUUUUUGGUUAAUCUUUAAUUUUUAAUUAAAAUAAAAUAUAAAAGAAAAUAUAUUUUUCAUAAAAAAUUGUAUUUAGCCUUUUAUAUUAAUUUCAUAAAAAAUAGGCACAUCCUUAAAAAAAAAAAAGGUAAAUUAAUGUUUAGGAGAACCGGAAAAACUAUCAUACUUAUCAUGGUGUAUAUAUUCCUUUGGGACCCUCGAUAAGUAAUUGGAGGUCUUUGCUCACCCCAAAAAGAACUUUGGGAUCAUAGGUAUAUCCAUUCUUAGAGGGGACCCCAAUUUUCAUUUUCAUGGUUUAUAUAUUCCUUGGGGGAGCCUUGAGAAAGAAUUAGAGGUUAUUCCCCACUCUAAAAUGGACAUUGGAACCCAAGGUACAUCCUAAAGACAAUUUGGUACAUCAUUUAUAAAAUUUGGUACAUAUUUAAUAAAAUUUGGCAUAUCCUUAAAAAAAUUUUGUACAUCCAAUCCAUGAGCUACCAGGACCUCUAUAUUAUUACCCGUGGUUCGUUUAUUUCUUUAGGGAUCUUUAGGAAGUAAUUAAAGGUCAUUCCCUACUCCGAAACGAACUUUGGAACCCUAGGUAUAUCCUUAAGGAGAUUUGGUGCAUCGUUAAGAAAUUUUGGUACAUCCAAUCCUCGGGCUAUCGAGACCCCUAUCUAUCUUCUGAUGGUCCAUAUUAUCCUUUGAGGAUCCUUAGGUAGUGAUUGAAGGUCAUUACCCACAUCAAAAUGAACUUUGGCACUUUUGGUACAUCCUUUACAAAAUUUGGUACAUCCUUAAAAAUAUUUGGUACAUGCUUAAGCUAUUGAAACCUCUAUCUUAUUACCCAUGGUCUGUUUAUUCCUUUAAGGAUCUCUGGGAAGUGAUUGGAGAUCAUUCCCUACUCCGAAAUGGACUUUGGAACCCUAGGUACAUCAUUGAGAAAAUUUGAUACAUCAAAUCCUUGAGCUAACGGAACACUUAUCUCCAUUUCCAUAGUCCAUUUUUUCCUUUGGAGACCCUUAGGAAGUUAUUGAAGGUCGUUCCCUACCUCAUAAUGGACUUUGGAAACAUUGGUACAUCAUUUACAAAAUUUGGUACAUUCUUCACAAAAUUUGGUACAUUAUGAAGGAUGUAUCAAAUUUUGUUAAGAAUGUACCAAAGGUUCCAAAGUGCAUUCCAAGGUGGGGAUCGGCCCCUAAUCACUUCCUUAUGGGUUCCAAAAUGAAAUCAUGUACCAUCCAUGUUCAAAUGGGGGACCUGAAAACAAUAAGAUCGAAUGAACCAAAUUUAAUGAAGGAUGUACCAAAUUUUGUGAAGUUUGUACCAAGCGUUCCAAAGUGCGUUCCGAGGUGGGGAUCGGCCCCUAAUAACUUCCUUAUGGGUUCCAAAAUGAAAUCAUGGAUCAUUCAUGUUCAGAUGGUGGUCCUAGAAACAAUAGGAUCGGAUGUACCAAAUUUAAUGAAAGAUGUACCAAAUUUUGUGAAGGACGUACCAAGGGUUCCAAAGUGCGUUCCGAGGUAAGAAUCGGCCCCCAAUCAGUUCCUUAUGGGUUCCAAAAUGAAAUCAUGAACCAUCCAUGUUCUGAUGGGGGACCCGGAAGCAAUAGGAUCGGAUGUACCAAAUUUAAUGAAAGAUAUACAAAAUUUUGUGAAGGGUGUAUCAAAUUUUGUCAAGGAUGUACCAAGGGUUCCAAAGUGUGUUCUGAGGUGGGGAUCAACCCCCAAUCACUUCCUUAUGGGUUCCAAAAUGAAAUCAUGGAUCAUCCAUGUUCAGAUGGGGGACUUGUAAACAAUAGGAUCGGAUGUACCAAAUUUAAUGAAGGAUGUACCAAAUUUUAUGAAGGAUGUACCAAACGUUCCAAAGUGCGUUCCGAGGUAGGGAUCAACCCCCAAUCACUUCCUUAUGGGUUCCAAAAUGAAAUCAUGGAUCAUCCAUGUUCAAAUGGGGGUCUCAGAAACAAUAAGAUCGGAUGUACCAAAUUUAAUGAAGGAUGUACCAAAUUUUGUGAAGGAUGUACCAAGGGUUCCAAAGUGCGUUCCAAGGUGGCAAUUGGCUCCCAAUCACUUCCUUAUGGGUUCCAAAGUGAAAUCAUGGACCAUCCAUGUUCAGAUGGGGAACCCGAAAAUAAUAGGACCUAAUGUACCAAAUUUAAUGAAGGGUGCACCCCUACUUUGCCUUCUGCAUGUAGCAUAGUAAUAUAAUGUCAUUCACACAUAGGCAUUCCUUUCAAAUGGAAGGUGCACCCCUAGAUUGCCUUCUGCACAUAACAUACAAAACUAAUGUUAUUGUAUAAAAAAAUUCCUUUGAUUCUAAGGGUAUAAUGUAAAUGUUCGAAUGUCUUCCCAAGGUGUUAAUGGGUCAACCUCCCUUUUACUGACUCCUCACAUAACACGAAUCAAAUCCCCACCUCAACGAUUUGGCACAUUCUUCACAAAAUUUGGUACAUCCUUCAUUGAAUUUGGUACAUCCAAUCCUAUCGCUUUCGAGACCACCAUCUGAACAUGAAUGAUCCAUGAUUUCAUUUUGAAACCCAUAAGGAAGUUAUUGGGGGCCGAUCCCCACCUCGGAAUGCACUUUGGAACCUUUGGUACAUCCUUCACAAAAUUUGGUACAUCCUUCAUUAAAUUUGGUACAUCCGAUCUUAUCACUUUCGGGAUCCCCAUCUGAACAUGGAUUGUCCAUAAUUUCAUUUAGAAACCCAUAAGAAAGUGAUUGGGGGCCGAUCCCCACCUCGGAAAGCACUUUGGAACCCUUGGUCCGUCCUUCCCAAAAUUUGGUACAUCCGAUCCUAUUGCUUAUGGGACCCCUAUCUGAACAUGGAUGGUCCAUGAUUUCAUUUUGGAAUCCAUAAGGAAGUGAUUGGGGGUUGAUCCCUACCUCAGAACGCACUUUGGAACGCUUGGUACAUCAUUCACAAAAUUUGGUACAUUCUUCAUUAAAUUUGGUAUAUCCAAUCCUAUCGUUUUCAAGUCCCCCAUCUAAACAUGGAUGGUCCAUGAUUUCAAUUUGGAACCCAUAAGGAAGUGAUUGGGGGUUGAUCCCCACCUUGGAAUGCACUUUGGAACCCUUGGUACAUCCUUCACAAAAUUUGGUACAACCUUCAUUAAAUUUGGUACAUCCGAUACUAUUGCUUUCGCGACCCCCAUUUGAACAUGGAUGGUCCAUGAUUUCUUUUUGGAACCCAUAAGGAAGUGAUUGGGGGUCGAUCCCCACCUCGGAACACACUUUGGAGCCGUUGGUACAUCGUUCACAAAAUUUGGUACAUCCUUCACAAAAUUUGGUAGAUCCUUCAUUAAAUUUGGUACAUCCGAUCCUAUUGCUUCCGAGACUCCCAUCUAAACAUGGAUGAUCCAUAAUUUCAUUUUGGAACCCAUAAAAAAGUGAUUAGGGGCCGAUCCUCACGUUGGAAUGCACUUUGGAACCCUUGGCACAUCCUUCACAAAAUUUGGUACAUCCUUCAUUAAAUUUGGUACAUCCGAUCUUAUUGUUUCCAUGACCCCCAUCUGAACAUGGAUGGUCCGUGAUUUCAUUUUGGAACCCAUAAGGAAGUUAUUGGGGGUCGAUCCCUACCUCAGAACGUACUUUCGAAUGCUUGGUACAUCCUUCACAAAAUUUGGUACAACCUUCAUUAAAUUUGGUACAUCUGAUCCUUUUGUUUCCGGGUCCCCCAUUUGAACAUGGAUGGUCCAUGAUUUCAUUUUGGAACCCAUAGGGAAGUGAUUGGGGGUUGAUCCCCACCUUGGAAUGCACUCUGGAAUCCUUGGUACAUUCUUCACAAAAUUUGGUACAUCUUUCAUUAAAUUUGGUACAUCCGAUGUUUUUGCUUUUGGGACCCCCAUCUAAACAUGGAUGGUCCAUGAUUUUAUUUUGGAACCCAGAAGGAAGUGAUUGGAGGCCGAUCCCCACCUUGGAAAUCAUUUUGGAACCCUUGGUACAUCCUUCACAAAAUUUGGUAAAUCCUUCUAUUGCUUUCGGGUUCCCCAUCUGAACAUGGAUGGUCUAUGAUUUCAUUUUGGAACCCAUAAGGAAGUGAUUAGGGGCCGAUCCCCACCUUGUAACGUAGCUUGGAACGCUUGGUACAUCUUUUACAAAAUUUGGUACAUUCUUCAUUAAAUUUGGUACAUCCGAUCCUAUUGUUUUCGGGAUCCCCAUCUAAACAUGGAUGGUCCAUGAUUUCAUUUUGGAAGCCAUAAGGAAGUGAUUUGGGGCCGAUCCCCACCUCAGAACGCACUUUGGAACCCUUGGUACACCCUUCCCAAAAUUUGGUACAUUCUUCAUUAAAUUUGGUACAUUCAAUCCUAUUAUUUCCGGGACCCCUAUCUGAACAUGGAUGGUCCAUGAUUUCAUUUUGGAAGCCAUAAGGAAAUGAAUGGGGGCCGAUCCCCACCUCAUAACGCACUUUGGAACGCUUGGUACAUCCUUCAUUAAAUUUGGUACAUCCGAUCCUAUUGUUUUCGGGUCCCCCAAUUGAACAUGGAUGGUACAUGAUUUCAUUUUGGAACCCAUAAGGAAGUGAUUGGGGGUCGAUCCCCACCUUGGAAUGCACUUUGGAACUCUUGGUACAUCGUUCACAAAAUUUGGUACAUCCUUCAUAAUGUACCAAAUUUUGUGAAGGAUGUACCAAAUUUUGUAAAUGAUGUACCCAAUUUUUGAAAUGAUGUACCAAUGUUGCCAAAGUCCGUUAUGAGGUUGGGAAUGACCUUUAAUAACUUCCUGAGAGUCUCCAAAGAAAGAAAUGGACUAUGGAAAUGGAGAUAAGUGUUCCAUUAGCUCAAGGAUUGGAUGUAUCGAAUUUUCUCAAUGAUGUACCUAGGGUUCCAAAGUCCAUUUUAGUGUAGGAAACAAUCUCCAAUCACUUCCCAAAGAUCCCUAAAGGAAUAAACGGACCAUGGGUAAUAAGAUAGACGUUUCAAUAGCUCAAGUAUGUACCAAAUAUUUUUAAGGAUGUACCAAAUUUUGUAAAGGAUAUACCAAGGUGCCAAAGUUCGUUCCGAUGUGGGGAAUGACCUUCAAUCACUACCUAAGGGUCUUCAAAGCACUAGAAGAAAAAAGGUCAUUGUUGACAUAUAUUAUCUUGACUUAAGGUGAUAUGUGUCAAUAUUGCCUAAUUAAAUGAACAACUAUGACAUAUACAACUUGUUUAAACCAAUAAUGACAUAUAUAAAAUUUUGUUGAAUUCUUUUAUGACUUAUAUAAUAGAAUCUUGACAGAUAAUUUAUGAGUCAAUGUAUAGUUAGUAUCUUCAUAUGUCAAGGUACUUAUAUAAUGUGGCUAGCUUGACAUAAAAUCAAAAGUCAAGGUACGAUUUUAAACAUAUAUGCCAUUUUAAUUCUAGUAAAAUGAUCUUAAAUGACCUAUGGAUUAUAAGUCAAGAUAUCAUGUUAUAAUUACUUGUCAAGGUUCCCUGUGGUAUUUACAAAGAACACUCCUCAUUUUCUCAAAACCCGAUAUUCAUUUUGAGAGCUUAGGGUUUGAAACUUUUUGCUCUAAACCAAGGAUGAAAAUAUCGGUAAUUACGAAUAUAUCAAUACUUCGAUAUUACAGAUAUAUCAAAAAUAUCGGAAAAAUAUCGGUGGAUAUUUUUUUACAAAUAUCGGUGGAGCGAAAAUUAUUUAAAAUUUAUAGGAAUGCUUGGAAAAACUCCAAAAAAUGAUAAAAUAAGUAAGAAUUCAUAUUUUAAAGUUAUUUUGUAAAUAUAAUUGAUAUAAAUAUAUCAAAAACAAAAACAUCCGUAGAUAGAGAUAUAUCAAUAAAUUUGAUAUUUGAAUUUUAAGAAUAAUAAAUAUGAAUUUUGGAAGUUUAUAAAGUUAGAAUUGAGUUAAGAAAUAUUUGACUUUAUUGAAUAAAAAUAAUUUAUAUAUAAAUAUAAUACAUAUGACAUUGCAAUAGUCUUAGUAUCAAAAUGAAGAUUGAUGUGGUUCCACCAUAUUGUUAGAUGAAGGGAGCCCAUCUUGUUGAAGACAAUAUUUAUUUAAAAAUUUUUAAAAUAUUUUUAUUAAAACACGUUUUAUUAUAUUUUAAAUGAAAAAUUAAAUUAAUUUAUAUAAAAUAUUUUAUUUGAGAUUUAAUUUCUAAAAUUUUAUUAAAAAUAUGUGGUAACAACUUUUUCUAUUAAUAUUAAUUUAUUUAAAUAAUUAAGAUUAUUAAUAAUUUAUUUUAUCAAAUUAAUUUUAAUUCAUAAAAUAUCAUCCAUAAAAACGGAAAUUUCAAUGUGAUUUAAUCAAAAUAAAGAUGGGUAACUAAUAAUUAUUUAUAUAGAGAGAGGAAACUUGUUCUCAUUUUUUAUUAUUUUUAUCUCUACUAACUAUAAAAAUCAAAAGGGCCACCGCUUCUCUCACUUGGGGCCUCGGGCAUCAAGAAGCCCUUUUCUAAAGUUGCUCUCGAGACGAGAGAAUCCGCCCUUCUCUGUGACUCUCAAUCCUCAUAGGUACUAAUUAUCGUUUUUUUUUUUUGCAACCCCCGUUUGAUUCCCAAGAAAAUCCAUUCCCCAUUCGAUUUUUGGGAAAAUUCAUCCUUGUUUGAUUUUCGAGAAAAUCCAUGCAAAACCCCUAAGGAAAACCACAAAAAUUGCUUUGUUUUUUUUUUGCUCCCUGUGUUUUCUCUUUGCAAAACCCCCAUUUGAUUCCUAAGAAAAUCCAUCCCCCAUUCGAUUUCCGGCAAAGUUCAUCCUCGUUCGAUUUCCGAGAAAAUCCAUGCAAAACCCCUAAGGAAAACAAAAAAAAUUGCAUUUUUUUUUGCUUCCUGUGUUUUCUCUUUGCAAAACCCCCAUUUGAUUCCUAAUAAAAUCCUUUCCUCAUUCGAUUUAUGGGAAAAUUCAUCAUCGUUUGAUUUCCGAUAAAAUCCAUGUAAAACCCUUAAGGAAAACAAAAAAAAAUUGCUUUUUUUUCUUUGCUCCCUAUGUUUUCUCUUUGCAAAACCCCCGUUUGAUUCCCAAGAAAAUCCAUUCCCCAUUUGAUUUACAAGAAAAUUCAUCCUCGUUUGAUUUCCGAGAAAAUCCAUGCAAAACCCCCAAAGAAAACCGAAAAAAUUGUUUUUUUAUUUUUUUUUUUGCUCCUUGUGUUUUUUUGGAUCUGUUCUAGGGGUCUCUUUUGCUUUUGUGCCAUUGGAUUUAAAUUUCACGAACCCCAAAUCCACUAUUUUUGAGCCAGGCUAAAAAACACAACUUUUGCCUGCAAAUCAUGAUUAGAUUACCAAAUAGCAUCUUAUGUUUUUUUUUUUUUUUUUUUAAAAAAAAAAAAAACUAGACAGAUUUUGUAUCCUAUGUGCGGGCUGGACUAGUGGGAAAUAUUGGGAAAUUUCUUGAAAAAUCGGUAAAAAUACCGAUAAAUACAUGUUUGUUGGGUUUCAAAUCAAAUGGGUUCUUCUUCUCUAGGCACUUAAUUUUGUGGCUUUGAAUGGGUCUUUGCCUCUUUCAAUCGAUUAAAUGAAGGUGUGGAAAUGGUAAUAUUUCAUCUUUUUAUUUGUUCUUGUUAGUUAAAUUCUAAUAAUCUAUUUUCCUAUUUUGGUCAUGUAGAACAUCAUUGAAUCAAGAUUAUGUUGAUUUUGGUUUCACCUACAUUAACCUUGAGAUAAAAAACCUCAAAUUUUCCACAUAUUAGAUCUUUAGUUACUGGGUAUGUUCUGGUUUGCUUUGUGAUUUAUUGAAGAAAAAGUGUGGAUUGUGUGAUGGUUGAAAUAUUUAGUUAUUGGGGUUUUUUGGUUCUGAGUCUCAAAUGGACUUGUCAAGUUGUAAGCAUUUGAGAUUCUUUGGCUACCAUUUGAAUUCUAGACAUACAAAUGUCUUGCUCUGGUUUUUGGUUUUUAGAGUUGUUUUGCUCCCCACAUUCUUUGGCUUUGGUGGGGUUGUUCAUAACAACUUUUUGGUGAUCAACAAUAGUUCAUUAUCCUCAAAUUCCAAGCUCCAAAUGUGGAAAGACAAGUUCUUGGAGGUUCCUUAGAUUUUAUAAGGAUAAGUUCUUUUUGUAUAGAAAAAUAAUUAUAAAAAAAACCUUAAAUGAGUAGUUUUAGAUGAAACCAGAUAUAGUUUGCAUUUACAUAAAUUUGGAGUUGUUAUACUUCUUGCUAAAUUUGUUCAUUUAUUUUUCCUAUCCUCAUUCAAUAUGAUGUCAUAUUUAUUUUUUUUCAUGUACCUUUCUAUAGAGCUUGGUAAACUAUAGUUGGUUGUAUUGUCAUUUUUUUCUUGGUCUUUCUAAGCAACCAAAUGAAGCAUUUGUGCAUGAUUUGUAGGCUAUCUUUGACUUGUAUAGUUUGAUGGAAACCUUGGACAUUUCAGGGAAAGUGUUAGGUUAAAAAAUCGUAAUAAUGAUCUAAAGAGUUAAAUAUCUUGGUUGAAGUUGGAUCAAAACAAUAACUUCAUUAGGUUAAAAUGAUUUAUGUUUUAGGUUUUGCUCCUAGGUUUAGCCUUCAUAUGUUUUUGCUAUAUCAAUAUUUUAAUAUUUGAGAGUUGGUUUGUUUACCUGUGUUAUUAAGAAAUAAUCUAUUAUUGUCUAAUAAAGGUGUAGUGUCUAGCUUGCUAUUAAAAUUCUUCAUAAAGCUUGAUAUUUGAUUGCUCCUCAUUAUACAUUUUUCUUUUUAAUUUGUUAAUAUGCUCUAUAUUUUUUGCUACAGAUUCAAAGUUUGGGUGUUGGAAAUUUAAGGUUUUCCUAUAAAGUAAUGCUUCAAGAUGGAGGCAAGAGACUUGGUUGUAGAUAUAUACAUGAGCAACUUAAUUUAAGUUUAUGUAUAUUGUCUUAUAGUAUGUUUUUAAUUUCGUUGUAUAUUAUAUGAGUUUCUUCUAUAUAGAGAAAUUGGGGACAACUUUAAACAAGUUCAUUGAUUUGUGCUUUAAUUAAUAAUUAAAUGCAUAUUAAAUAUGUUUUGAUUAUAUAUAAAAUCAUGAUAAUUUGAUUGUCAUUAUCAUUCUUAAAUAAUAUCAAAUUGAUUGUACAUGGCAACAGGUUCAAUUUUUCAUAUUAAAAAAUAAUUUUAAAAUUUUUUGAGGGGAACCUUGACAGUUGUACUUAUUCCCUACAUUGACAUAUAUAAGCCAAUUAUGAUAUAUAUAAAAUCUAACCUUGACAUAUGUAUCUAAAAGCCUUGAUAUAUGUGGGGUUAAUCAUGACAUAUAUGAUACCUAACCUUGACAUUUGUUGGACUAAUCUUAACAAAAGAGUGAGUUAACAUUGACAUAAGAUUAAGUAAUCUUGAUAUAAGUUGAAUCCAACCUUAACAUAUAUGAAAGAAAUAUUGACAUAUCAUAUACUAAUAAGAUUUCAUCAUUUGUAAAAAUAGAGAAAAUCUUAACAUAUGUAUAUGUCAAGUUACCUUUAAACUUUUCUUGUCACUAGCAUAGAUAACAUAUAUGAACAAUAACCUACCUUCACAGAUAUACCUUACAUUGACAGUGAAAAACUGUCAACGAAGGCUUUUUUAAUUUCUUGUAGUGAAGGAUAAUAUGGACCAUGGGAAGAUAGAUAGGGGUCUCGAUAGCCCAAUGAUUGGAUGUACCAAAAUUUCUUAACAAUGUACCAAAUUUCCUUAAGGAUGUACCUAGGGUUCAAAAGUUCGUUUUGGAGUAGGGAACGACCUCUAAUUACUUCCUAAAGAUCCCUAAAGAAAUAAACGAACCACGGGUAAUAAUAUAGAGGUCUUGGUAGCUCAUGGAUUGGAUGUACAAAAUUGUUUUAAGGAUAUGCCAAAUUUUAUGAAUUAUGUACCAAACUUUAUAAAUGAUUUACCAAAUUGUCUUUAGGAUGUAUCUUAGGUUCCAAUGUUCGUUUUAGGGUGGGGAAUAACCUCUAAUUCUUUCUCAAGGGUCUCUAAAGGAAUAUAUGAACCAUGGAAAUGAAAAUAGGGGUCUUGGUUCCUCUAAGAAUGGAUAUACUAGGAUCCCAAAGUUCUUUUUGGGAUGGGCAAUUGAGGGUCCCAAAGGAAUAUAUACACCAUGAUAAAUAUGAUAGUGUUUCCGGUUUUCCUAAGCAUUAAUUUACCUAUUAUUUUUAAGGAUGUACCUAUUUUUUAUGAAAUUAAUAUAUAAAGUUAAAUACAAUUUUUUAUGAAAAAUAUGUUUUCUUUUAUAUUUUAUUUUAAUUCAAAAUUAAAGAUUUUAACCAAAAAAAGUUAGAUCCAUUUAAAAUUAUAAGAAAAAUGAUAAAAACACCAUCACUUAUUGUGAUUUUGAUAUGAUAAAUUUAAAAUGAAAAUUAAAAGAAAAAUAAUGUAAAUAAUAAAAUAGUGUUACAAUGAUAUUUUUACUUUUACAUGUGAUGGAAUUUACAAAAUAAAUAAAUCUUUUGUUUAGUAUUAAUAUAAAAAAUCUUAUAUCAUAAACUUCUAAGUAAUAAAAUGAAAAUUUUAAAUUUAAACCUUAAUUUAUAAAAUGUAUUAUUAUAAUUAAUAUUUAAAAUCAUUACUAUUUGUGGGAUAAUAUUUUCAUUUUUGUCCAUUAUAUAUUUUGUUUUUAUUUAAUUUGUUAUAUUAAUUAUUUAUUAUAUAUUAUCAUUUUAAGUUUAAUAUGUCAAAAAAAUAAUUAAAAUCAAUAAAUAUAGACAAAUUAGAGAGCAAAAAUAAAUUUAAAUUAAAGAAGUUUUAUGAGAAAAUGCACGACCAUAUUAAAAAGAAUAUACAAGAAAAAAAUGAUAAAAAUUAUAAUAGGUGACAAUGGAUUAUGGUGGCAGAAGAGGAAAAAAAAAAGAAAAAAGAAAAAAGUGGAAACGUAACAAGUGGUAAGGGAGAUAUAUUGAUGUGAGAAAAAUAAUAAAAAUAAAUAACACAUGUACUUGUUAACAGGUGGUAUUAAAUUGGUGUGUACUUUGUCAUUUACUUUUGAGGGUAAUUGUAAAAAAAAUUUGAAAGCAUUAUUGGAGUGCAUGAAUAAAUAAUAUUUUUUUUUCCCAUUUUAUACCAAAAUUAAAAAGAAAUAAGUAAAGUUCCAAAAUCUCAUAUUUUUUGUAGUUGGUGUAUGGUUAGAUGAUUUCCUCCCUUUUUUUUUUCUUUCUAAGAUGGUUUCCUUUUCCUUGAUUUUUUUUUUCUUUUUUAAUUGCCUCUUUGGGUUAUUUGAUUACAUGCAUUUUUGGGUGCGAUUUCUUGUGUAGAUGCUGUAGGUUGUUCAUUAGUGGGCUUCUUUAUUAUAUACGAUUAUAAAGUCCAGUAGUGAGUAUAAUAGUCGUUAUCCUUGCCUUUUUGUGAGCUAUUAUUUCAGAACAAUGCUCCAAAAUUUGGGACCAGACCCAGAUAUAUUCCGUACUAUGAAUGGUGUUUGUCUUCUGUGCCUUUGAAAUUUUAGUUAUAUACCUAAGAAGGGACGAACUAAUUAAUUUUAGUUAAAAAUUAAAGGUCUAAACGCUGUGUUCGGAAUUGACCUACAAAAUUUCUUCUUUUCACACGGUAUUUAAACUCUAGAAUUUUGGAAUUGCAUUUAAGAAUUCAAAUGAGAUCCUUCUAUUAACCUAGUCGUGCACCAGGAAAGCACGUGCUUCCGUCCAACAGUAUCCUAAUUAUAUUGCAUGUUGAUGCUUGUGCCCCUUAGUAGUUGACUUUGGAGGGAAUUCGGAAUAUCUUAAGAUUUACUUAGAGUAUGUUUGAUAGUAAUUUUAAGAAGUAUUUUCAACAUUUAUAAUAAUUGAAAAUUUUCAUUCUUCAAGUAUUAAAAAUAUUAUAAAUACUUCUAUAAUUAUUGCUAAACGCACUCUUAAUGGAGGGGCAGAAGGCAGCUACUGGUGCACUUGGGCUAUCCGCAGACUUUGAUGCUAAUCUUCCAAAAAUCACUGUUAGUUUAUUGUCCUUUAUAUUUUGUGAAGUUGAAAAUCUAGCAAUUAACCACCAUCGAUUAACAUAGAGCCUCAUAACUAAUAGAAUUUAUAAUUUUAAUUACCCAAAAAAAGGGCCAUUUGCAGAUGUAGUUAGACCUAGCUCAUUUAUGCAGAAUAUUGCUACAAAGGCAUCAACAGUUGUCUUGGAGCUCUUAGCAAUAAGAUGGAAGUUCUAGCCUUCCUUUUAGUGAAAGAAUGAGACAGCAUUAUCAAAUUAAAAAUCAAUUUAACCCCAUAUAGUAGUCUUCCCACAAUGGUUAUAAACCAUUAUUUUCUUGUAUCUUUUGGAAUAGUGUAGAAUAAUGAUUUGAUAUUGGGUGUUCAUCAGUCUAAUAUAUGGAGAUGGAUUUAGGUUAUGAUGUUGGCCUAGCUAAUUAAUUUGCUAGUUUGCUUUGUUAAUGAAUUCAGCCCUUUGUUAAGAGAAUUGCAAUCUCCGUUACUCGGAAUAUCCAAAGAGAGAAACAAGGUCUAAUUGAAGAACAAGAAAGGUACAACUUAUUAAUAGGCCGGGCAUGAUCCAUGCUAAACCUCACAUGAUGGAGCAAUUAGGUUCAUCUGCGUAGCCCAUGCUAGCAAUUAAAACCUGUUGGCUUUGACAACAAGUCUUCGGAGCUGGCUUCGGAUCUGGCUUUGGCUUUUCCUUUACUUCUUCCACGCUUACAAUAGUCGCAUACCCAAGCUUCUUCCCCAGGCAGUG
This 40247-nucleotide long non-coding RNA is filed under the name Vitis vinifera (wine grape). RNAcentral describes it as "long non-coding RNA (VVIN_LNC006542)". The record is from RNAcentral. Lineage: Eukaryota; Viridiplantae; Streptophyta; Magnoliopsida; Vitales; Vitaceae.